CGCGCCCCGGGCGGCCCGCCGGCGGACAACAAACUCUGUUAUCUUCGUUGAUUAUCUGAGCGUCUUAUUUAAUAAGUCAAAACUUUCAACAACGGAUCUCUUGGUUCUGGCAUCGAUGAAGAACGCAGCGAAAUGCGAUAAGUAAUGUGAAUUGCAGAAUUCAGUGAAUCAUCGAAUCUUUGAACGCACAUUGCGCCCAUUAGUAUUCUAGUGGGCAUGCCUGUUCGAGCGUCAUUUCAACCCCUAAGCACAGCUUAUUGUUGGGCGUCUACUCCGGUAGUGCCUCAAAGACAUUGGCGGAGCGGCAGUAGUCCUCUGAGCGUAGUAAUUCUUUAUCUCGCUUUUGUCAGGUGCUGCCCCCCCGGCCGUAAAACCCCCCAAUUUUUUCUGGUUGACCUCGGAUCAGGUAGGAAUACCCGCUGAACUUAAGCAGGGGGGUUUUACGGCCGGGGGGGCAGCACCUGACAAAGCGAGAUAAAGAAUUACUACGCUCAGAGGACUACUGCCGCUCCGCCAAUGUCUUUGAGGCACUACCGGAGUAGACGCCCAACAAUAAGCUGUGCUUAGGGGUUGAAAUGACGCUCGAACAGGCAUGCCCACUAGAAUACUAAUGGGCGCAAUGUGCGUUCAAAGAUUCGAUGAUUCACUGAAUUCUGCAAUUCACAUUACUUAUCGCAUUUCGCUGCGUUCUUCAUCGAUGCCAGAACCAAGAGAUCCGUUGUUGAAAGUUUUGACUUAUUAAAUAAGACGCUCAGAUAAUCAACGAAGAUAACAGAGUUUGGUUUGUCCGCCGGCGGGCCGCCCGGGGCGCGAGGUCCCGGGUAGCUUGCGCCGAGGCAACAAAGAGAUAGGUUCACAUGGGUUUGGGAGUUGGAUAACUCUGUAAUGAUCCCUCCG
This 897-nucleotide unclassified non-coding RNA is filed under the name Nigrospora sp. NIOT. Its description in RNAcentral is "sequence contains ITS1". The stretch from base 81 to 234 matches the Rfam family "5.8S ribosomal RNA". Lineage: Eukaryota; Fungi; Ascomycota; Sordariomycetes; Amphisphaeriales; Apiosporaceae. The record is from RNAcentral.